UGGAAAUUGCACCAAGAACACAGUUCAUGGAGGAUGGGCGGCAUCCUAGGGGGGUGGCUAUACAGACUGUAGAGCAAUGAUGCACUCCCAUUGGAUUACUCCCUUCUUGAUGGAGAGGUGCUAUACACUAAAAGGCAUGGCGAUCGGCUCUUAUUGGUGGACAGGUGCAGAAACCAGAGGCAGCGGCCAUUGUCUUCCUCUGAGCUCUCCUCUUCUCGGUGAAGCAGCGGCAUGAACUGAAAGCCCGUAGUGAUUGACUCCAGCUAGGUCCUUCUAUCAUUGAUGGAGAGGUGAUACGAACUGAGAAUCCUCGGCGAUGCACUCUACUUUGGCUCCAAAGGCAGGGAGAUGGACUCCUGCUGGUUUCUCCAU
Molecule: long non-coding RNA, 372 nt
Filed under: Spirodela polyrhiza (greater duckweed)
Lineage: Eukaryota; Viridiplantae; Streptophyta; Magnoliopsida; Alismatales; Araceae
Description: long non-coding RNA (SPOL_LNC001901)
Source: RNAcentral